ACAGUCUACGAAACCCCACAGCUCCUAAGAAUUCUCUCACCUGCCUUCUGCCCUUAAGCUCCGGUAGAUUGCAAAUAACCUGCUUUCUUUCUGUUCCCGAGCUGCGUUCGGACCCAUGUCUUAUUGUAAAUCCCACGCAAGCUGCGUUCGGACCCGUCUGAUCGUAAAUCCCAUGUAAGGUACCUGCCGUCGGAAGAUUUGAACGUUCUACUUGGACACCUAAAACCCACAGUCCUCCAGGUACCUGCCGUCGGAAGAUUUGAGCUUUCUUCUUGAACACCUCAUACCCACAGUCCUCCAGGCGCCAGUGGGAUCAAGAGAGGGCAACAUUGCAACUCUCCAUGCUCCUGCAAUAUCCAUGGCUAUUCUGUAGACAGAAAGACAACAGGUACAAAGCCCUAAGGAUUAUAAAGGUAUGCUGCUUACCAUCAUCUUAGUGACCAAGGCAGCGAAGCUGUUUCUGUACCUUGGAACAGUCUUCCCUGACAAGCCAGAGAACAGUGAUAAAGCCACCAGCCUUGGGAUCAGGACUGAAAAGGCAAGAGUGAUGGAGAUUUCUCCUGCGCUAAGCCAAGAGAAGGUUUCAGCACUUCAGACAGCUCCCACCGAAGUAGCCGCGCUCCCAGCUGCUUGCAGAUGUUGAAAAGGAAAGCCUCGGUUUGUCUUGAGGUUGUCAGCAGGUGCAAGACACGUAAUAAAAUGCAAUGUGUUCCUAA
This 716-nucleotide long non-coding RNA is filed under the name Homo sapiens (human). RNAcentral describes it as "novel transcript". Lineage: Eukaryota; Metazoa; Chordata; Mammalia; Primates; Hominidae. The record is from RNAcentral.